GACACUGGUAGUCAGCGCUCCUGGUUCCCAGGAUGGGGUUCAAAUCCCUACGGUGUC
RNAcentral lists this small RNA (57 nucleotides) under Podarcis lilfordi (Lilford's wall lizard). Lineage: Eukaryota; Metazoa; Chordata; Lepidosauria; Squamata; Lacertidae. The record is from RNAcentral.